RNAcentral lists this ribosomal RNA (464 nucleotides) under uncultured bacterium. RNAcentral's name for it is "partial 16S ribosomal RNA". It matches the Rfam family "Bacterial small subunit ribosomal RNA", at positions 28 to 507 of the family's 1533-position model. The record is from RNAcentral.
GACGAACGCUGGCGGCGUGCCUAACACAUGCAAGUCGAGCGAAUGAAGUUCCUUCGGGACUGGAUUUAGCGGCGGACGGGUGAGUAACACGUGGGCAACCUGCCUCAUAGAGGGGAAUAGCCUUCCGAAAGGGAGAUUAAUACCGCAUAAGAUUGUAGUAUCGCAUGAUACAGCAAUUAAAGGAGCAAUCCGCUAUGAGAUGGGCCCGCGGCGCAUUAGCUAGUUGGUGAGGUAACGGCUCACCGAGGCGACGAUGCGUAGCCGACCUGAGAGGGUGAUCGGCCACAUUGGGACUGAGACACGGCCCAGACUCCUACGGGAGGCAGCAGUGGGGAAUAUUGCACAAUGGGGGAAACCCUGAUGCAGCAACGCCGCGUGAGUGAUGACGGCCUUCGGGUUGUAAAGCUCUGUCUUCAGGGACGAUAAUGACGGUACCUGAGGAGGAAGCCACGGCUAACUACGUG